This 336-nucleotide ribosomal RNA is filed under the name uncultured bacterium. RNAcentral describes it as "bacterial SSU rRNA". It matches the Rfam family "Bacterial small subunit ribosomal RNA", at positions 335 to 677 of the family's 1533-position model. The record is from RNAcentral.
ACUCCUACGGGAGGCAGCAGUGAGGAAUCUUCCGCAAUGGACAGAAAGUCUGACGGAGCAACACCGCGUUGAAGGAUGAAAGGCCUUUUUGGUUUGUAAAACGUUCUUUUCUUGAGGGGAAGAAUUCUGACGGUACCUCAGGAAUAAGCAUCGGCUAACUACGUGCCAGCAGCCGCGGUAAGACGUAGGAUGCAAGCGUUAUCCGGAAUUAUUGGGCGUAAAGCGUCCGCAGGCGGUUUGGUAAGUUGGAUGUCAAAGCUCUGAAGCUCAACUCAGAAACUGUAUCCGAUACUGCUAAACUAGAGUCAGGUAGAGGCAAGUGGAAUUCUGCAUGUA